ACGGGUGAGUAAUGCUUAUCUACUUGCCAAUUAGUGGGGGAUUAAAUACCGCAUAUUCUAGUUUCGGCUAGGAAAGAGUUCCAUUUGGGCUCGCUAGUUGAGAGGGAUAAGGCGUAUCAGCCGAUGAAAGUGGGGUAAUGGCCUACUGAGGCAAUGACGCGUAGCCGGCCUGAGAGGGUGAUCGGCCACAAGGGAACUGAGACACGGUCCCUACUCCUACGGGAGGCAGAAGGAGGAAACAUCUCGCAAUGGACGCAAGUCUAACGGAGUGAUACUACGUGAAGGAUGAAGGUAACGAAAGUUAUUGUAAACUUCUUUACUAGAGGGUACUGCUUUUAGAGCUUGCCCUUUGGCAAAAAGCCACGACUAACUAUGCUGCCAGCAGUCGCGGUAAUACAUAGGUGGCGAACGUUAUCCGGAAUUACUGGGCGUAAAGGGUGCGUAGGUGGUUGAAUAAGUUACUGGUGGUAAAUCAGGGCUCAACCCUGUGGAAGUCAGUAAUACUAUCCAACUCGAGGGCUGGAGAGGUUAACGGAAUUCUAUGUGUAGCGGUAAAAUGCUCAAAUAUAUAGAGGAACACCAAUUGGCGAAAGCAGUUAACUAUUCAGUUCCUGACAUUGAGGCACGAAAGCGUGGGGAGCAAUACGGAUUAGACACCCGAGUAGUCCACGCCCUAAACGAUGAGUACUAGAUAUUGGAAACUCGAUUUUCAGUGUCGCAAGGUAACCCGGUAAGUACUCCGCCUGGGUAGUACGGUCACAAGACUAAAACUCAAAGGAAUUGACAGCGAUUCACACAAGCAGUGGAGCAUGUGGUUCAAUCCGAUACGACACGCAGAACCUUACCAAGAUUAUUAGUAGUGCGAAGCCGGAAGAGACUCUGGCAGAGGUUAUCAUUACUAUGAAGGUGUUGCAUGGCCAUCGUCAGUUCGUGUUGUGAAACGUAUGGUUAAGUCCUAUUAACGAACGAAACCCUCGUGCCUAGUUGCUAACAGGUAAUGCUGAGGACUCUAGGCAGACUGCCAAGGUAACUGGGAGGAAGGAGAGGAUCAAGUUCGGUCGUC
Molecule: ribosomal RNA, 1063 nt
Filed under: Candidatus Moeniiplasma glomeromycotorum
Lineage: Bacteria; Bacillati; Mycoplasmatota; Mollicutes; Mycoplasmatales; Mycoplasmataceae
Description: bacterial SSU rRNA
Rfam family: Bacterial small subunit ribosomal RNA
Source: RNAcentral